CAUCUCUUUAUACAAUUAACAGGAACUGUUUUAUUGACCUAUGCAAUUAAGAGAAUUUUAUUCACAAAGAAGUUAAAAGAAAUGGUUUUAUUCUGAAAUUUUAUGCAAAUAAAAAUAUUAUGUUUUUAACACGAUGAGUCCACAGUACCUCAACUACAAUUUACAAAUAUAACCUUAAUAAUUCAACUCUUCCUGUUAUCAAACCUCUGAAUGAAUCAAAUUACUGUUAAUAGGGAUAUUAAAUAUACCAAAAUGGUCAAGGUGCACUUGAUCUAUGGGAUGGUCACUUGUACAGGGACUAUUUGUCAGUAAACUUACAGUAAAUAGAUGAAAUAAUAUACUGCCUAAAAUCUGCCUGUCGAUCCUUUUAAUCCCAGUUUCUCAUUUGUGUGCAAAUAUAGUAUGAAUGAGUCGUUGACAUUAAUGGGAAAGUGAAUAAAAAACAUUUUAACCUACAUAUCUGUUUUGGAGCUGCAUGAGGAUAUAAAUUUGUUUCAGUCAUUAUCACAACAUUAAUCAAUAUCGAGGAGAGUAUAUUCUUAAACAAGAUCACAAACAAAGCAAAAUCACUAUUUGUAAAACUAUUUUUUCUAUAAAAUAACAAUACUUUAGUAUCAAAGUUACCAGAGUAGUCAGUGUAAAAUAAAUCUUCUCUUGAUCUCAAAGUAAACUGGAGGCUCCAUGGAUCAUGUAUUGGCCCAUUUCACUUUUUUACUGUUUUCCCCUAGAUAUUAUUUUCAGAAGAUGAAACAAAUGUUUGUCAGAUACUGUUACAGAAAAGGGGUGGGGUGAAGCUGAAUACUGUCCUAAACAGGAAUGAAACUCAAUUGAAAAUCAGCCAAUUGCUCAGAACUUUUCUUAAUUUUUUCUGUUUAUAACCAUGCUAACACAAACGGGCUAUUUCUUUGCUCUGACAAUACAAUCGUCAAGUCCUAAUAAAUACCCAUGACGAUGUUUGCCUAAUAUAAAAUUUACAGAAAAAGGAACCAAUUUUAGGUGAAACGUAUGUUUAAAAAUUCAAGCAUCAACAUUUUUUUAAAAUAAUCUUCUCUUAGAUUUAUGUCUUUUGUUAAAAUGAAUCUAUGAUAUCAAUGAAAGUGGACAAAAAAAGCCUAGUAAGGCCAAUAACUCUCACUGAUGACAAUACAGUCUGUCAUGCUUAAGUGAAAUUAAAAUGACAUUUUUACUUACAAUCACAUUCACAACAGCAUGAUAACACAAAAUAUAAUACUUUCCAAAAAUAAUUACACCUUUAUAAAAUCAAG
RNAcentral lists this long non-coding RNA (1265 nucleotides) under Mytilus galloprovincialis (Mediterranean mussel). The record is from RNAcentral. Lineage: Eukaryota; Metazoa; Mollusca; Bivalvia; Mytilida; Mytilidae.